This is a long non-coding RNA of Callorhinchus milii (elephant shark), 1738 nucleotides long. RefSeq lists it as uncharacterized. NCBI's taxonomy places the organism in Eukaryota, Metazoa, Chordata, Chondrichthyes, Chimaeriformes, Callorhinchidae. The transcript has 4 exons. The record is from RefSeq and is a predicted model, not a curated record.
GGGGGCGGGGCCCGCCGGACGGUUGGAGGCGGACGGUUGGGAGUUGGGCGGUGAAGAGAGCGGCGCGAGGCGGAGAGCGGCCGCGAGGGAAAAGUGAAAGAGAGACGGGACAUUUUGCGAAGGCGGCACUUGACGCGCCGGGAGGCCAUCGACACCUUCAGAUACAGCCUGUCAGCCGGAGGAGGCCGUGGUGGACAUUUGUCUCCGACUGGAGGAGGUGGAGAGAGAGAGAGAGGAGCCGACAACCUGUCUUUUUCCCCUUCUCUGUGGCUUUUCCUCAAUGGAUUACUUGAUCGCGGUGCAAAAAAAGCGUCGUCGCCUUGGCGAGGGACUGGUCGGCCGGGAGCCCGUGAGCCACGCUAAUAAAAAGCGGUUUUGCCAAGGAUUAGACAGUAGUUUCCCAGCUGAAAAUGGCUACUACACAGUCAGCUGAACUGGAGCUCUGUAGAUCAUCGAAAGCUACAAAACCAUGUUCAGUCCGAAGAACUGAUGGAUGUAAUCGUUGCCUUGCCUGAAACAGACAAAAUGGAAUAUCAAAGCCAGGUACGAGGAGGCACACCGAAACCUUGUCUACGUUGCAUGGCAGGUGAAUCUGGUCAUAUUAACCAUAUCAUGGCUGGCUAACCGGAAAAUUAAGAAUGUGGCAUACAGACUAAUUUUUCAUGUUAAAUUGAAGAUCAGAUACUGUAAGUCUUUUUGAUGGAAAUUUGAAGAUGCUGCAAGAGAAUACUAAAUCGUUUGAAUUAUGUUAGGUUACUGAUUUCAAGAAGCGUAGUCAAGUUUUACCUCAUAAAAGCAAAUUGGCAUUAUUGUUUCUCACCUGAACACAAUACUAGUCAUUGCUGUAUUAUUGUACUAAAUGCAGAGGCAUAUUGAUUCUCUUUUUUAACUAUUAGAAGUUCAGAGGUUCUUCAGCCAGACUUUUUCACAGAGUAUAUUUACAAAUGAAUUAAAAUGUUUGAAGUUUAAUGACUUGAAUCAAAAAUAAAUUGAGGUUAUUGCUAAAAUAUUUUAUUAGAUGACUAAUUUGAUAUUUAUUACAAUUUUGUAACUGAAUUUAUUCACUUAUUCAUUUUUGUUAAAACCAGUAUUUCAAUUUAUCGUAUUGGAUUUUUACCUGAAAGAUAACACAGUGCCUAUUAAUGUAUAAUAUUACUUUUAAUACUAAAACAGUUGAUAAGAACUUUUCCAACAUUUUUUACAAAGUUAAUGUGCUGAAAAAUAAACUUAACCAUUGUUAAUUAACUUGCAUAUACAGUUUACAGAUCAUUUCUACUUUUUUAAAAAAAGUCUUGCUUCCCUCCCCCUAUUUGCCAAUAUUAAUACAUUGUUUGGGCCUGAUUCUGAGUUUAGUAACUUGUUCCUGGGCCUUACUAAUGCAACUCUGUGACAAAUGUAAUAAGUAUCUAGGAGUUUUGAAAGUCACAUCUAGGUUGACACGUGCUAUUUUAUGAACAAAAUAAAGUCUGCUUACUUCCUCCACUCUGCUACUGCCUGUUAGCACAAAUCUGCAUCAUUUCACUUUUUUAGCAGUUCAUUUAGCUUACACCUGCAUACGUUACUAGCCACAAUAUUGGGAUGUAUUUCAAGGUGACAUACCUGGCAACAAAAUGUCGAAUCGAAUCAACCCUUUGUGGCAGUCUUUGUUGUCUGACUGGUUCCUGCGCCAGGUGGAUCUGCAUUACUUCAGGGCAUUGCUGAUGACAGCCCAGCCAGCUUGGCUCAUCAGCAGGUUGGA